UACGUAGGGUGCAAGCGUUGUCCGGAAUUAUUGGGCGUAAAGGGCUCGUAGGCGGUCUGUCACGUCGGGAGUGAAAACUCGGGGCUUAACCCCGAGCCUGCUUCCGAUACGGGCAGACUAGAGGUAUGCAGGGGAGAAUGGAAUUCCUGGUGUAGCGGUGAAAUGCGCAGAUAUCAGGAGGAACACCAAUAGCGAAGGCAGCUCGCUGGGACGUUACUGACACUGAGGCGCGAAAGCGUGGGGAGCGAACAGG
Molecule: ribosomal RNA, 253 nt
Filed under: uncultured bacterium
Lineage: Bacteria
Description: partial 16S ribosomal RNA
Rfam family: Bacterial small subunit ribosomal RNA
Source: RNAcentral